Long non-coding RNA from Photinus pyralis (common eastern firefly), 470 nucleotides. RefSeq lists it as uncharacterized. The record is from RefSeq and is a predicted model, not a curated record. The transcript has 2 exons. NCBI's taxonomy places the organism in Eukaryota, Metazoa, Arthropoda, Insecta, Coleoptera, Lampyridae.
GCGACGUCUGUCGACGGUUAAUCGACGUGUUGUUAUAAUGCGCACCGGUAAAUGUCUCCACUGUAAUCUGUCAAAUGGUGAAUGUGGAAUCGUGAUACGCCCCGUCCGUUUGAAAACUUAAGGAGAUUAUUUUCAUAUAAGAAGAGUAAUAAUUUGACGUGUGGUGGUGAAUUAUCAAAGUAGAAGAAAUGUUAUAAUUACCUACGUCUGCGCGCUGAUUGUAACAUACCCUUCGCCUUGCCUAAAUGGGUUACUGGCAAUUCGUGUUAAUCUCAAAUACAUAUUGAAUUUGAAGCUUUAGAACAGGCAAAACAGUGUAGUGACAUUUUACUUAACCAGUGUCCUAUAAUUAUAUGCGCAUGUAAAAAUGACAAUAUUUUAAGCAAGUGUAUAUCAGUAUAUAUGUAUAAACAAACACAUUUUUAAUUUCACAACAAUUGUAUAUUACCAAUUAAACACUCCGCAAAUGA